CACGUAGGCACCAAGCGUUGUCCGGAUUUAUUGGGCGUAAAGAGCUCGUAGGCGGUUCGGUAAGUCGGGUGUGAAAACUCUGGGCUCAACCCAGAGACGCCACCCGAUACUGCUGUGACUUGAGUACGGUAGGGGAGCGGGGAAUUCCUGGUGUAGCGGUGAAAUGCGCAGAUAUCAGGAGGAACACCAGUGGCGAAGGCGCCGCUCUGGGCCGUAACUGACGCUGAGGAGCGAAAGCAUGGGUAGCAAACAGG
Molecule: ribosomal RNA, 254 nt
Filed under: uncultured Acidimicrobiales bacterium
Lineage: Bacteria; Bacillati; Actinomycetota; Acidimicrobiia; Acidimicrobiales
Description: partial 16S ribosomal RNA
Rfam family: Bacterial small subunit ribosomal RNA
Source: RNAcentral